This is a long non-coding RNA of Triplophysa dalaica, 814 nucleotides long. RefSeq lists it as uncharacterized. The record is from RefSeq and is a predicted model, not a curated record. The transcript has 5 exons. NCBI's taxonomy places the organism in Eukaryota, Metazoa, Chordata, Actinopteri, Cypriniformes, Nemacheilidae.
AGGGUCUGCCCUGAACUAAGGAACCUUCUCGAUCAAAAGCCAUUCCUCUCAGUCAUGCAUGCUAAAGUACAUGGAAUAAAAUGUGAGGUAAUUAAAAUUGUUGUAUUGUCUCUUCUUACUUAAACUACACUUGUUCUGUUAUCUGUAGAAAAAAACUGCAUUUCCUAAACUAGUUCUCCCCAAUAGAUCAAAUGGAGUGGUAGCUAUCAAACUGGUGCUGCCUAUAGCAUGGGAGAGGAAGUGGAGCAGGCAAACACCUUUUUGUCAAGGAUUGCUAUACGCACAAAGUUCAUGUCUAAAGCCAGUCGUACAGACAUGCUCACACUGCAGUGCAUUGGGUGGAACAAAAUCAAAGUCCAAAAAAUGUGCAAAACUCUUUGCACAAGAUAUAGGAAGACGACAGCAGAAUCUCAAAAAGGAGAAAGAAAGCCUUGAGGACAUGAAAAGUGAACUGGCCGUGGAUAAUGAAGUCAUCAAGCAGUGGGUCACAGAAGUGCAGGAGUGGGCCCACACUGCAACAUCUGGGGACAACAAUGUUCCUGUCGAACCAUUAAUGAACACGAUUGAGGAGAUGGCUGUCAGCAUCAAACAACGACGUCAUCAUCUUUACUGACACACCGGAAACCCUUGGAAUCUUUCAGAAGAGGGGAUUCAAGGGCUUCACUGUAUGUUGCAGAGAAGACUAGACCAGCUUACAGCUCACAGGGACACUCUAAAAAAGAGAUAUCAAAUGAUAGACAACAUGACAACUUGCAGUACUGUGGAAGAUGAAUAUGUAAGCUGUCUGGAAGACCUUCUUUCCAGCAGUUCUGAU